AGUGAACGCUGGCGGUAGGCCUAACACAUGCAAGUCGAACGGCAGCACAGUAAGAGCUUGCUCUUACGGGUGGCGAGUGGCGGACGGGUGAGGAAUACAUCGGAAUCUACUUUUUCGUGGGGGAUAACGUAGGGAAACUUACGCUAAUACCGCAUACGACCUACGGGUGAAAGCAGGGGAUCUUCGGACCUUGCGCGAUUGAAUGAGCCGAUGUCGGAUUAGCUAGUUGGCGGGGUAAAGGCCCACCAAGGCGACGAUCCGUAGCUGGUCUGAGAGGAUGAUCAGCCACACUGGAACUGAGACAUGGUCCAGACUCCUACGGGAAGCAGCAGUGGGGAAUAUUGGACAAUGGGCGCAAGCCUGAUCCAGCCAUACCGCGUGGGUGAAGAAGGCCUUCGGGUUGUAAAGCCCUUUUGUUGGGAAAGAAAAGCAGCAGGUUAAUACCCCGCUGUUCUGACGGUACCCAAAGAAUAAGCACCGGCUAACUUCGUG
This 492-nucleotide ribosomal RNA is filed under the name uncultured bacterium. RNAcentral's name for it is "partial 16S ribosomal RNA". It matches the Rfam family "Bacterial small subunit ribosomal RNA", at positions 29 to 507 of the family's 1533-position model. The record is from RNAcentral.